UACGGAGGGGACUAGCGUUGUUCGGAAUUACUGGGCGUAAAGCGCACGUAGGCGGAUUUGUAAGUCAGGGGUGAAAUCCCGGGGCUCAACCUCGGAACUGCCUUUGAUACUGCAAAUCUCGAGUCCGGGAGAGGUGAGUGGAAUUCCUAGUGUAGAGGUGAAAUUCGUAGAUAUUAGGAAGAACACCAGUGGCGAAGGCGGCUCACUGGUCCGGUACUGACGCUGAGGUGCGAAAGCGUGGGGAGCAAACAGG
This 253-nucleotide ribosomal RNA is filed under the name uncultured bacterium. RNAcentral describes it as "partial 16S ribosomal RNA". It matches the Rfam family "Bacterial small subunit ribosomal RNA", at positions 524 to 776 of the family's 1533-position model. The record is from RNAcentral.